RNAcentral lists this ribosomal RNA (328 nucleotides) under uncultured eukaryote. RNAcentral describes it as "partial 18S ribosomal RNA". It matches the Rfam family "Eukaryotic small subunit ribosomal RNA", at positions 1470 to 1796 of the family's 1831-position model. The record is from RNAcentral.
CCCUUAGAUGUCCUGGGCCGCACGCGCGUUACACUGAUGCAUUCAACGAGCCUAUAACCUUGGCCGAGAGGCCUGGGCAAUCUUGUUAACGUGCAUCGUGAUAGGGAUAGAUUAUUGAAAUUAUUAAUCUUGAACGAGGAAUUCCUAGUAAACGCAGAUCAUCAAUCUGCAUUGAUUACGCCCCUGCCCUUUGUACACACCGCCCGUCGCACCUACCGAUUGGAUGGUCCGGUGAAGCCUCGGGAUUGUGGUUCUUGCCGCUUUAUUGUGGCGUGACCGCGAGAACUUGUCUAAACCUUAUCAUCUAGAGGAAGGUGAAGUCGUAACA